GUCAUACAGAUGUGAAGGGACGGGCAAUGGUAUGUGAAAAUGGAAGCCAUUCCGUCCAUUAUAUCAAUGUGCUUG
Molecule: microRNA precursor, 75 nt
Filed under: Eptesicus fuscus (big brown bat)
Lineage: Eukaryota; Metazoa; Chordata; Mammalia; Chiroptera; Vespertilionidae
Description: microRNA efu-mir-9270 precursor
Source: miRBase by way of RNAcentral